This 776-nucleotide ribosomal RNA is filed under the name Gammarus stankokaramani. RNAcentral describes it as "eukaryotic LSU rRNA". It matches the Rfam family "Eukaryotic large subunit ribosomal RNA", at positions 157 to 623 of the family's 3401-position model. The record is from RNAcentral. Lineage: Eukaryota; Metazoa; Arthropoda; Malacostraca; Amphipoda; Gammaridae. RNAcentral also lists the same sequence under 1 other name.
UAAGUCAGCCACGAAUAGGCUAUCCCAACUAACGGCGGGAAAGACUCCACGGAGGGUGUAAGACCCGUGUGGGCGCGUGUUAAAGCUGUGUGGGCUCGGCCUCCAUUCCCUGAGAGUCGCGUUGCUUGAGCAUGCAGCGCUAAGCAGGUCGUAAACUCGAUCUAAGGCUAAAUAUUUCCACAGAACCGAUAGCGAACAAGUACCGUGAGGGAAAGUUGAAAAGCACUCUGGAGAGAGAGUCAAAAGACCGUGAAACCGCUCAGAGUAUAAGCCCAUGGCAGCUUGGAAGGCAUAUCGCUAGCGGGGCAUCGGUCUCCCUUCGCGGGGAGCUGGUGUUACCUUGCUUCUGUUGUGGCUCGUCAUGGUAGGGGGGUCAGGUCCACAUCCCGCCGUCGUGUGGAGAGUUCUUGGGUGUGUUGUGGUUUCUCGGUUGGCUUCGGCUUUCCGGGGGGCUCUUCGUACUUGGUUCUCUUUUAGACACGGACGUUCAGACUCAGUUGCAAGACGCGAUAACCAGCCCACCACGGCACGUUGUGAGGUCACCCACAGGCUCGACUUUCGAUCGUGAGCCUUGACGCCGAGCAAGCACAAUGCGUGUCGCAGAUGUUCCUAACCAGGCAAUGGUGCCAGGAUCGUGGAACGACACGCGCUCAAGAGUCAGGUUCGGGCGGAGACAGAGUUCUGGUAUGAUCCUCUUGCGACGAGCCGGCUUCUGGCCGACAUCCGAUGCUCAGGUCUCCCGCAUGUGCCGCGGGAGAUCGCUUUGACGGUCUGGA